Molecule: small nucleolar RNA, 142 nt
Filed under: Aotus nancymaae (Ma's night monkey)
Lineage: Eukaryota; Metazoa; Chordata; Mammalia; Primates; Aotidae
Description: Small nucleolar RNA SNORA48 (ENSANAG00000012659.1)
Rfam family: Small nucleolar RNA SNORA48
About the family: The snoRNA ACA 48 has been identified to guide pseudouridylation of the residue U3797 in the 28S rRNA subunit. Its host gene EIF4A1 (eukaryotic translation initiation factor 4A1) is shared with U67 and snoRNA mgU6-77
Source: Rfam by way of RNAcentral
UGUCCCUGACCUGGGUAGAGUGGCAUCUGGCAUCUGGUUGGUGGUGCCCAUCUAAUAUCAGCCAGGGACAAAGCAUCCCCUUGUUCAUCCCAGCUUGGCUUUUGAUCUGUGCCCAUGCUUGGUUCAUGCCUUGGACACAUAG